AUUGAACGCUGGCGGCAGGCUUAACACAUGCAAGUCGAACGGUAACAUAAAGAAGCUUGCUUCUUUGAUGACGAGUGGCGGACGGGUGAGUAAUGCUUGGGAAUCUAGCUUAUGGAGGGGGAUAACUACGGGAAACUGUAGCUAAUACCGCGUAAUAUCGAGAGAUUAAAGUGUGGGACCUUCGGGCCACAUGCCAUAGGAUGAGCCCAAGUGGGAUUAGGUAGUUGGUGAGGUAAAGGCUCACCAAGCCGACGAUCUCUAGCUGGUCUGAGAGGAUGACCAGCCACACUGGGACUGAGACACGGCCCAGACUCCUACGGGAGGCAGCAGUGGGGAAUAUUGCGCAAUGGGGGCAACCCUGACGCAGCCAUGCCGCGUGAAUGAAGAAGGCCUUCGGGUUGUAAAGUUCUUUCGGUAGCGAGGAAGGCAUUUAGUUUAAUAGACUAGGUGAAUGAC
This 456-nucleotide ribosomal RNA is filed under the name Parahaemophilus parainfluenzae. RNAcentral describes it as "Haemophilus parainfluenzae bacterial SSU rRNA". It matches the Rfam family "Bacterial small subunit ribosomal RNA", at positions 30 to 473 of the family's 1533-position model. The record is from RNAcentral. Lineage: Bacteria; Pseudomonadati; Pseudomonadota; Gammaproteobacteria; Pasteurellales; Pasteurellaceae.